RNAcentral lists this ribosomal RNA (217 nucleotides) under uncultured bacterium. RNAcentral describes it as "partial 16S ribosomal RNA". It matches the Rfam family "Bacterial small subunit ribosomal RNA", at positions 524 to 740 of the family's 1533-position model. The record is from RNAcentral.
UACGUAGGGUGCAAGCGUUAAUCGAAAUUACUGGGCGUAAAGCGUGCGCAGGCGGUUUUGUAAGUCUGUCGUGAAAUCCCCGGGCUCAACCUGGGAAUUGCGAUGGAGACUGCAAGGCUAGAAUCUGGCAGAGGGGGGUAGAAUUCCACGUGUAGCAGUGAAAUGCGGUAGAGAUGUGGAGGAACACCGAUGGCGAAGGCAGCCCCUGGGUCAAGAU